UUCACAUAGAAUUCACUGUCACUGAAAGCAUGGGAUUUAGGAGAAGAGUUUUGGUGUUUUGAUGGCGAAGGCAGCAAAUGCAGAUCAGAAGCAAGCAGAGAGGAAGUUCUGGAAGGUCAGUGCUAGUUUGAGUGGAAUGUUUGUCACAUGCCACUGGAAGAGUUCUGAUGAGUGUUUCAUCGUGACUUCGUGUUGAAAAUGCCUGACCCCUUGCUUGGUCCAUUGUAAUGCCAGCCUGUGGUUACUGGAACCCAGUCUGCCAGACCAAAGGAGGAAGUCUCCUAGGCAGAUGUGGAACCCAAAAGAGGAACUUCACCAAGUGCUGUGGACGGCUCUUCCAUUUCAUGCCCCGUGGAUUUUGGGGGAAGUAUUUUUGUGGCUCACCAGUCCCUCAUUGGGCAAGGGCCACUUGUCUUGGAUUGGCCUUCUCCACUGGUGGAAAGUACGGCUGGGAGAUGUGGAGUGGUUGCUGUUUGACUUUGAAUCUUGCUAGGACAGUCACCAUGAACCUUUUUGGUAAGAUCAAGAGGUGAAGUUUGUUGUUGAGGAUUGCAGGAUUCCUUCUAACCUUUGGGGACAUUUUGAAUCAUAACUGUCAGUGGCUUUC
This is a long non-coding RNA of Camelus dromedarius (Arabian camel), 607 nucleotides long. RefSeq lists it as uncharacterized. The record is from RefSeq and is a predicted model, not a curated record. The transcript is spliced from 3 exons. NCBI's taxonomy places the organism in Eukaryota, Metazoa, Chordata, Mammalia, Artiodactyla, Camelidae.